This 460-nucleotide ribosomal RNA is filed under the name uncultured bacterium. RNAcentral describes it as "partial 16S ribosomal RNA". It matches the Rfam family "Bacterial small subunit ribosomal RNA", at positions 338 to 795 of the family's 1533-position model. The record is from RNAcentral.
CCUACGGGUGGCUGCAGUGAGGAAUAUUGGUCAAUGGGCGCGAGCCUGAACCAGCCAAGUAGCGUGAAGGAUGACUGCCCUACGGGUUGUAAACUUCUUUUAUACGGGAAUAAAGUGAGGCACGUGUGCCUUUUUGUAUGUACUUUAUGAAUAAGGAUCGGCUAACUCCGUGCCAGCAGCCGCGGUAAUACGGAGGAUCCGAGCGUUAUCCGGAUUUAUUGGGUUUAAAGGGAGCGUAGAGGGGUUGUUAAGUCAGUUGUGAAAGUUCGCGGCUCAACCUUAAAAUUGCAAUUGAUACUGGCAGUCUAGAGUGCAGUUGAGGUAGGCGGAAUGCGUGGUGUAGCGGUGAAAUGCUUAGAGAUCACGAAGAACUCCGAUUGCGAAGGCAGCUUACUAAACUGCCACUGACGUUGAUGCACGAAAGUGUGGGUAUCAAACAGGAUUAGAUACCCGAGUAGUC